RNAcentral lists this transfer RNA (61 nucleotides) under Alectorobius peruvianus. RNAcentral describes it as "tRNA-Val". The record is from RNAcentral. Lineage: Eukaryota; Metazoa; Arthropoda; Arachnida; Ixodida; Argasidae.
UAGGGUGAAAUUGAUUAAAUAUUUCUUUUACAAUGAAAAAAAGCAAGAAAUGCCGCUCUAA